This is a non-coding RNA of Petromyzon marinus (sea lamprey), 718 nucleotides long. Lineage: Eukaryota; Metazoa; Chordata; Hyperoartia; Petromyzontiformes; Petromyzontidae. The record is from RefSeq and is a predicted model, not a curated record.
CCCGCCCCCCACCGAUCUCUGCAGGCACGAGGGUGGCUUGAGGCAGCUGAAAGGGCGCGCGUGUUGGUGGUGAGUCUCGUGGUGACAGCUGUCACCUCCAGCGCCUUACACAACAACAACAACAACUCAGCAACAACAACAACAACAGGGUCGUAGGCGUUACGUUGGGCUAGAGUGGAGCCAGAGAGAGAGGGAGAUUGUUGCAAACCAUCGCUGAUAGCCGUCUCCCUGAUAGCAGUCGCAGGGAGAGACGGACAGACUGCGAGUGGAGUCUUCGGCCUUGGUGAUCGUCGCUGACGACGUCAUCCCCGACGUCAUCUCUGACGUCAUCUCUGACGUCAUCGCCGCCGUCAUCUCUGACGUCAUCUCUGACGUCGUCGCCGCCGGCGUCACCGUCGCUGUGGUGACAGCGACUCAAGAUGGCCGCUCUUGCGAGGCAACUGGCCGGCAGGCUGGGCCUACAAAGUGCCCCCUACUCGCGCUACUCCAACGCCAGCGGUGGGGGUCCAGCGGAGGAGGAGGAGGAGGAGGGGGAGGGGGGGGAGGAGGGAGUGGGGGGGGGCCACGAUGAAGAGGGUGGAGGGGGGAGGGGCCGCCCCCACAGCUCCCCCCAGUUCUGCCUGGAGGAGCCCCCCACCACUGUGAGCAGGAAGAGCGGCGCUGGGGGAGGCCACAGGCCGGCUUGGAGACUCAUAGGGGGGGCUGUGCUGGUCUUCAC